CUAAUUAAUAAGUUUAUUAUUAGAACAAACAAUACAUUAUGUAUAAUAUAAUAAACAUAAAAAGUUAAAAAUAAAUCAUUUAAGUAGUAACAACCAAGUAAUACAUAUAGGUAUUUUGAAAAGACUUAAUGUAAUUACAGCUUAAAUAGUAUCUACCUACCUAUAUCCUAGAAUUUAAACAAUACAAAAAUGCUGUUCUGGGAUAAUGGAGACUGCAGCCACUGUUAUAGCUAAUGUAAGC
Molecule: non-coding RNA, 241 nt
Organism: Cinara cedri
Lineage: Eukaryota; Metazoa; Arthropoda; Insecta; Hemiptera; Aphididae
Source: the annotation of a GenBank genome assembly